Long non-coding RNA from Acinonyx jubatus (cheetah), 2482 nucleotides. RefSeq lists it as uncharacterized. The record is from RefSeq and is a predicted model, not a curated record. The transcript has 3 exons. Lineage: Eukaryota; Metazoa; Chordata; Mammalia; Carnivora; Felidae.
CUCUUGGUGGACAGCAGCAGUCUCUACCAUACUUGUGUGGCAUGUAGAGUUUAGAAAUUAUGACCUCAGAGUUAGGAAUCCAAGAAAGAACCAGGGAUUCUGCAUUGAUGGAGUUCACAAGAAAGAAGAGACAGAAAACCAGGCAGAUUCAUUAUGGACAGAAGAAUCACAGUAACUCCUACUCUGUCUUUUCCCAGGUGGAGGCAGGGCCAGGCCCAUAUACCUGUGUGGAGAAACUAAUCCCAAUCACAGCAGAAUGAAACAACUUCUGGAACCCAUGGGCAGGGGAAUGACUCAGUCAGUCAGCGAUCGUGUGUGCCAUACAUCUGAGUGACUCAAGCCAAAGCAGAAAAUGAAUUAAGAAGCCAUUCCAGUUAUGGGACAAAAUGUAGAAGAGUAGCCUGAGAUGGAAACCCAAAAAAGGAAAAAAAAGUUCCUCAGAUGUAAAAGCAUCAGAACCAGAGGCAAGGAGGUGGUGAGCAGAAGAACUUGACAGAGAGGGGGAAAGUGGAUGAGGAGAAAUUGCACCACUGGAGUAGUGCCAAGGAACUGGGGCUCCUCCAAGCUCUGACUGUAGGCUUUGUGAGUAACAGCCCCACUUUUUGUGCAUUUACCAUUAUUCCAGGCUCUGUCCUAGGAGAUAUGCAGGUCUCUCUGAAACCUCACAACAUCCUCUGAGGUAGUUCUCUCUCUUUUAUAGAUCUGGAAACAAAGACUCUACAAGAUUAAGUAAUAACAGCUAGUAAGUGGUAGAUUCGGGAUUCAGAUUCCUAUCUCUCAAGUUUGACUCUUUUCACCCACCCAGUCUGCCUUCCUAUUCCUCUUCUCUGAAGAUGAAGCCUAAAGGCGAAGGCACUGAGGGAAACCACGAAUAGUGGCUAGAAUAGGGCUAGAAAGAAGUAGAACAUAGAGAGGAAGAGGGAGUACGGUGCAAGGGCUCACACUCUAGCUUCGGGACUAGACAGAUCUGCACUCAGACCUGUGUUUCUCUACUUAGGAGAUAUGUGGUCCAGGACAAAUCACACAAUCUGACCCCAAUUUCCAUGUGUGCAUAAGGAUAUUAACAGCUACCUUCCAGUGUUACUAAGAAUAUAGAUAUAUUUUUAUUUUAGAACUAGGGGGUUUUUUUUUAGUACAUUUGUUAGCAAAUAGAUAUUCAACAAUAAAGGUGAUAGUGGGUGAUGAUACGGUGGAGAAAAUCCUGAGACCGUAGUAGUCAAGGAGCCAGAAAGAGAACAUUUAACAGCUUUCAGUAGGUUUCAAGCCCCAGGUUUGAAUAAAACCUAUACCCAAUACAAAGAGAAUCUGCCACUGUCCGUUGCCAACCAGGAAUGUGAAACUGGGGAGGUAUGUGAAAAGCAACUGAGCAACUUUUGAUCCUAUUUUCAAAAACAGAAUAAUAUAUAUAUAUACUCCAGAAACCCUAGACUUUCAAGCUUAUGGUUGAACCUAUAUGUAUACAACCUUUGGGCACCGCAACAGAGCAUUCCUUUUUAAUUCAGAGACAAAAUAAACAAGGCUACCUCCCCUGAGGGUUAUCCAACAAAAAUCAACACUUAAUGCUGGAGUUGAGACCAGAGUAUUCAAAGACACCUUGAAGAGACCAAGUGAUGCAAAGGUUCCAGUAGAUUUCACUGAAACUAAUGAAAGGUAUUUAUAGCACUAAAGGAAAGACACAAAGAGGAGGCUGACAGGAAAUAAGACAAAUGCGGGAAGGGAUGAAUGAAUGUCAAAUUGUCAGGAGCAGAGCAGACAGUAAUUCUUUACUAAGAAGAGUAUGCUCUAGUCCAAGUACCUGAACUAAAAGCUCCUUGAAGACAGGAACUAUUCUUUCUCACCUUUGCAUCUUCAGGAACUAACACAGUGCCUGGCACAAAGUAGCAACUUAAUAUGUCAAAGCCCCACUGUAUGCUUUCUGGGAAGCCAGGACUAUCAUGAUUGCCUUCACAAAGGAUGUGCUGUUCCCUGUACUCUGCCUUACAUGUCAAUCAAAAAUAUUCCCUGGUUCUCUGUGACUCUUAGUCCAAAGCCCUAAGUCCUGUUAGUGUGGUAUUUCAGCCCCAUUCCAUUUUCCCUUUCCAGGGUAGGUUCCCAUUCCUUCUCCUAAGUCAAUUCUCUCUUCCUGCCAAAAUGAUCUAUCCAAGCCUAAAACCAAGCCACCUUACAUUCUCUCAACACUUUUUCCCUACAUGAUUUGUCUCAACCAUAAAUGCUCUCUGUUUUUCUGUACCUUUUAAGGUCCCGUCUCUAGAAAUGUCCCCUGGACACCUCAGGAGAAUUUUCACUCUCCCACUUUCAAACUCUUUGAGCUCUUGUUUCUCUACCACUCAUUCAGCAUUCACCAAAUACCAUCUUGUGUUGACAUUUGUGUUUUUUCAAAUGACUGUCUUACCUCCCCUGAUGAACUACAAACAUCACGUCUUAUUCAUCACUGCAUCCUGCCUUGGGCCUUGCACAGAGUUAGCACUUAAUAAAUGUUUGU